CGAGUGGCGGACGGGUGAGUAAUGUCUGGGAAACUGCCCGAUGGAGGGGGAUAACUACUGGAAACGGUAGCUAAUACCGCAUAAUGUCUAACGGACCAAAGCGGGGGACCUCCGGGCCUCGCGCCAUCAGAUGAACCCAUAUGGGAUUAGCUAGUAGGUGAGGUAACGGCUUACCUAGGCGACGAUCCCUAGCUGGUCUGAGAGGGUGAUCGGCCACACUGGGACUGAGACACGGCCCAG
This 240-nucleotide ribosomal RNA is filed under the name uncultured bacterium. Its description in RNAcentral is "partial 16S ribosomal RNA". It matches the Rfam family "Bacterial small subunit ribosomal RNA", at positions 92 to 334 of the family's 1533-position model. The record is from RNAcentral.